Molecule: ribosomal RNA, 404 nt
Filed under: Erwinia sp.
Lineage: Bacteria; Pseudomonadati; Pseudomonadota; Gammaproteobacteria; Enterobacterales; Erwiniaceae
Description: bacterial SSU rRNA
Rfam family: Bacterial small subunit ribosomal RNA
Source: RNAcentral
GACGAAGUGGCGGACGGGUGAGUAAUGUCUGGGAAACUGCCCGAUGGAGGGGGAUAACUACUGGAAACGGUAGCUAAUACCGCAUAACGUCUUCGGACCAAAGUGGGGGACCUUCGGGCCUCACACCAUCGGAUGUGCCCAGAUGGGAUUAGCUAGUAGGUGGGGUAACGGCUCACCUAGGCGACGAUCCCUAGCUGGUCUGAGAGGAUGACCAGCCACACUGGAACUGAGACACGGUCCAGACUCCUACGGGAGGCAGCAGUGGGGAAUAUUGCACAAUGGGCGCAAGCCUGAUGCAGCCAUGCCGCGUGUAUGAAGAAGGCCUUCGGGUUGUAAAGUACUUUCAGUGGGGAGGAAGGCGAAGAGGUUAAUAGCCUCUUCGAUUGACGUUACCCGCAGAAGAA